This 463-nucleotide long non-coding RNA is filed under the name Rattus norvegicus (Norway rat). Its description in RNAcentral is "long non-coding RNA NONRATT015106". The record is from RNAcentral. Lineage: Eukaryota; Metazoa; Chordata; Mammalia; Rodentia; Muridae.
AUCACAGGGACAUCCUAGUGUCCACUCAUCCCCAGCCAGCUUACCGUGGUCAGCAGGAGUCCUUCCCCCAGCUUCUCCCCUCCCCACCUCAGCAGAGAAACGGAGACAAGGACAUUGGAUGCAGUAGGGGUCCACGUAAGUGCUAACAUAUCUCCAGGAUCCUGGGUGGUGCUAAACUAUCUCCGUGUUUCUCAUAGUUCUAUUAGUGGGUUGUUUUUUAUAAGUCUCAUCACAAACAACACAGUGUCACCGGGGGAGGGACCCAGCCCCCUUGACCUGCCCCUUUCCGGGUGUCCUUUAUCACUUUGGUGGGACUCUUUGGUCUGUAAAAAUGAUCUGUCUUGGCAUGCUUCUAGACUUUAAAAUUUGGGUUGUUUUGUUUCAUAUCUUAUGUUUACAGGCAUCUUGUAUUUCCCUAAAGACUAAAUAAAGUUUUUGACCUUUUUUAAAAAAAAAAAAAAAA